ACAUAGUACUGUAAGGGGAAAAAAACACGUCCUUACUAAUCUCGGAACAUAUUUUAUUUCACACAAAAUCAUUACAAAUUUCACUGCCUCAGCUUAAGACAAUAUGAAUCAUGACAGACAGAUGAGAGCUGUUCAGGUACAAAAGAAAGGAAGGCUAGAUUAAAAGAGUCUUAUUUUUGUAGUUUGGCCAGCAUUUCUAAGGAUUGAGAUAACAUUGUAACCACUAAAUGAGGUCUGGAAAAAAUGUGACAUCUCUACAACAAAGUCCAGUGGGCAGGAAAUCAGAGCCAUGAGAUCAAACAACCUGUCUGAGUAUCUGACUGUUGAACUGAGUCAUGUCACCAUAUUCCUGGAACUCAGCUGUUGACUUAUGUCAUCACUCAUCUGUAACUCACUGAUAUGGCAGUCUUCACCAAUGCUGCGGGCAAAGAAAGGCACAGAGGGAAACAGUCGCAGGGCCUCCUUGAUAGUACACUCCAGUUUCUCCACCAGAAUCUCAGCCUGUUCGUUCAUCACUUCCAAGAAGUCCGUCAGGAUGGAGAAGUGGAAGGUGGGAGUCAGCAUCUUUCUCCGCUGACGCCACUUAGGCCCGGUGCUGAUCAAAAGAAGAAGACAUCAAAGAAAGACAAGACCCAUGUUUAUACUCUUGUAUAAAUCUUAAAUUAAGGUCAAGAUUAUCCCUUCAAUGUUUCUGCAACACUUUGGGUCAUAAUAAAGUGGAAAACAUGACAUUUGCUGUGGACAUUCAUGGUCACAAGAGAAUGAAUGUAAUAAUGUUUUUCAUGACCCCCUGACCUUUACCAUAGCUCCACAAUCAGUCUAGCAUUUCCAUCGGAAUAAUAAAAUCGGAUAAAAA
This is a long non-coding RNA of Micropterus salmoides (largemouth bass), 856 nucleotides long. RefSeq lists it as uncharacterized. The record is from RefSeq and is a predicted model, not a curated record. The transcript is spliced from 3 exons. NCBI's taxonomy places the organism in Eukaryota, Metazoa, Chordata, Actinopteri, Centrarchiformes, Centrarchidae.